AGCUAAUAGAUACCCCGGUAGUCCACGCCCUAAACGAUGUCUACUAGUUGUUGGUGGAGUAAAAUCCAUGAGUAAACGCAGCUAAACGCGUGAAGUAGACCGCCUGGGGAGUACGGUCGCAAGAUUAAAACUCAAAGGAAUUGACGGGGGCCCGCACAAGCGGUGGAUUAUGUGGAUUAAAUUCGAUGCAACGCGAAAAACCUUACCUGGCCUUGACAUGCCACUAACGAAGCAGAGAUGCAUUAGGUGCCCGUAAGGGAAAGUGGACACAGGUGCUGCAUGGCUGUCGUCAGCUCGUGUCGUGUGAUGUUGGGUUAAGUCCCGCAACGAGCGCAACCCUUGCCAUUAAUUGCCAUCAUUUAGUUGGGCACUUUAAUGGGACUGCCGGUGACAAACCGGAGGAAGGUGGGGAUGACGUCAAGUCCUCAUGGCCCUUAUGGCCAGGGCUUCACACGUAAUACAAUGGUCGGUACAGAGAGUUGCCAACCCGCGAGGGGAGCUAAUCUCAGAAAGCCGAUCGUAGUCCGGAUUGUUCUCUGC
Molecule: ribosomal RNA, 540 nt
Filed under: uncultured bacterium
Lineage: Bacteria
Description: bacterial SSU rRNA
Rfam family: Bacterial small subunit ribosomal RNA
Source: RNAcentral